CCCUACGUGCGGCAGCAGUGGGGAAUAUUGGGCAAUGGGCGCAAGCCUGACCCAGCAACGCCGCGUGAAGGAAGAAGGCUUUCGGGUUGUAAACUUCUUUUGACAGGGAAGAGCAGAAGACGGUACCUGUCGAAUAAGCCACGGCUAACUACGUGCCAGCAGCCGCGGUAAUACGUAGGUGGCAAGCGUUGUCCGGAUUUACUGGGUGUAAGGGCGUGUAGCCGGGCUGACAAGUCAGUUGUGAAAUCCGGGGGCUCAACCCCCGAACUGCAUUUGAAAAUGUUGGUCUUGAGUAUCGGAGAGGCAGGCGGAAUUCCUAGUGUAGCGGUGAAAUGCGUAGAUAUUAGGAGGAACACCAGUGGCGAAGGCGGCCUGCUGGACGACAACUGACGGUGAGGCGCGAAAGCGUGGGGAGCAAACAGGAUUAGAUACCCGGGUAGUC
RNAcentral lists this ribosomal RNA (442 nucleotides) under uncultured bacterium. RNAcentral describes it as "partial 16S ribosomal RNA". It matches the Rfam family "Bacterial small subunit ribosomal RNA", at positions 337 to 795 of the family's 1533-position model. The record is from RNAcentral.